GGUGCCGUAGUGUAGUGGUUAUCAUGCGACGUUGUGGUUUGUCCCACAGUCCCGUCUCGACCUGGGUUCGAUUCCCAGCGGCGCCA
RNAcentral lists this transfer RNA (86 nucleotides) under Aspergillus alliaceus. RNAcentral's name for it is "tRNA-His". It matches the Rfam family "tRNA". From Rfam's summary of the family: Transfer RNA (tRNA) molecules are approximately 80 nucleotides in length. Their secondary structure includes four short double-helical elements and three loops (D, anti-codon, and T loops). The record is from RNAcentral. Lineage: Eukaryota; Fungi; Ascomycota; Eurotiomycetes; Eurotiales; Aspergillaceae.